AUAUAUCUCAGUUGGUAUUUGUGUUUAACAACUUUGUUCUAAAGUUGUAAAUUUUUAAUCUGAAAAGGGAAACUAGAAUACAAGAAUCUUAAACUUUGCAUGACUACGAUACAACCACAAUAAAGGCAAGAACUAUGUUUCUUUUUUUGAGUAAAGGCAAGAACUAUGUUAAAUAACUAGAAUACAAGAAUCGUAAAAAACCAAAAUAACUUUACACUGAGUUAGAAAUGUUAAAUAGAGAUAGCACAAUAAAGGCAAGAACUAUGAACACACCACAAUACAACCACAUAAACAAGAUGACUUUGGAAAAUAAUACUAAAAAGAAAGGAAGAAAAACGGGAGCAGAGGACUUUAACUUUGCAUGACUACGCAGAACUACUGAGAUUUUCAGUAAGCAACAUUACUAACAUGAAGGACCAAAUAACUUUUCGACAAUACCUGUAGCAGUUCCAAUUCCCAUUAACGAAGAACCGGCACUAGCCAUAAUAGCUCUCACAUCUGCAAAAUCUACAUUUACUAACCCUGGAAUCUGCAAGAAAAGCAAGUGGAUUUGAAUCGCAUUUUCUUGCUUGAGAAUGGAAAGGAAAAUAGUAAAUCAUAUGAAGAACAAUUUAAUAAGUUUCAGAGCUGGAAAUUUUACAAAGCAAAGCACGUAUUAUAAUGUGCAAGCAAGAGCCCACAUAUCAUUCAGGCGUGCAAGCCACCAACAAAAUUCACUCAGCAUAUGCAUGGCUAUAAACUCCUAUUUACAUCCUUGUAUGUAUGCCAUCAUCAUCAGCCAUACCGUGAUAAUAUCGGAGAUACCGCGAACUCCUUGUCGAAGAAUAUCAUCAGCAAGGUUGAAUGCAUCUGUUACUGGUGUGGAUGGAGAAACUGCAGUCAGCAAUUUAUCAUUUGGAAUGACAAUUAGGGUAUCAACAUUUUCUCUUAAAGCUGCGAUUCCUUCUUGGGCUUGAACAGCUCUUCUUCGUCCUUCAAACGAGAAUGGAGUGGUAACUAUACCAACAGUCAAAAUGCCCAUAGAUUUUGCAAUUCCAGCAAUUACAGGAGCUCCCCCGGUGCCUGUUCCCCCACCCAUUCCAGCCUGCGAGCAUUAGAAGACUAGUGAAGGCUUAACCAAAACAAGGAGAAGCAUACCGCACAAAGAUUAAAAUUUUGCAAGGUAAUGGAGGUAGAUAUCACUUUUCCUUUAAUUCAUUCCAAGUAUAAUAGGCUUGAAAUUCGCAGGAAACAAUAGUGUUUCAAACAUUUCUUAAACAGUAUAGUCCUUCAGGCCAUAAAAUGUAAGAAAAUUAACUAAAGCUAAUUUCUGAGAUUUUUGGUUUUUGAUUUGUAAUUAAUAUGAUGGAUAAGAAAAAGUUAAGAUUUCAAUGGACAUUCUGGUUAUGUUUACAUUGUACAUAUUAAAAUUUCUAACCAACCAAAACAAGUCAAAAAUCUAGGAAAGCAUUUUCCAAAUGGAUGAAAGAAAGAAAUCAUCAAUAAAAAUAUCCUAACAAGAAGGUUUAAAUUGAUUAUCUUUCUAUAAUUUCAUCUCAGGAAUUAUCACUUUGAAGAGACAGCAUCUGAUCUAUCAUGAUAAGACUGCAAUUAUCACAGAGACUAGAACAACAUUAAUGAAUGACAUGUUUGAAGGAAAAAAAAAGUGACACACUAACUUACAGUCACAAAGACCAUGUCUGCUCCAUUAACUGCCUCCUCUAUCGCUGCUUUGCUUUCAUUAGCAGCACUCAUACCAACUUCUGGGUUCCCACCAGCACCAAGUCCUCGAGUAAGCUCUCCACCAAUCUGAAGGCGAUGCUCAGGAAAGAUGGGUGACAUCCUCAUGGCUUGUAUGUCAGUGUUAACUAUCCAGAACUCUACCCCCUUCAUUGCACUCUCUAUCAUGCGGUUAACUGCAUUGGAUCCACCACCUCCAACGCCAAUAACCUUGAUCUUGGCUUCACUAUAAUUGUUCAAAGUAGAUAAGUCUCUCACACUCUCAGUAACAUUUCCACUCGAAGAAUCCUGUCUUGGGUUAAUCAUGGUAGUGCUCGUCUCACCUCUAAGCAUCGAGAUCUCAGGGUGUACGUUCAGAAACGAGUCCUUGCUUUGAAAUUGAUUCACACUAUGGGAAUUGGCCGAACAUUUCAGCUGUGGGAUACCUGAACCACAUUUUUGAGUGACACCCGAAAACCCAUUCCUUUCUUCAACAAUUUUCAAUGGGGAAACUCUCCCUCCAAGAACAGUCAAUACCCCGACCCGCCUCCCAGCAUCCGGAGGUGUGAAAUAAGGGGAAGUGCAUGUAGCCAUUGAUGAAAAUAUCAAACUCCAACUUGCUUUAUCUGUUUACAGCACCUAUAUAUGCAGAAAACCUAUCAGCUAUACCUCAAUUUCAACCUUUCUUUCUGUUUCUCAAUUCCUGUGCAUAGUCAGAGAUAGCAAGAAUGCGCCUGGUAAAAGCAAUUAAUACCCAAAAAUAACUGAAAGGGGCUCUUAAUAAAACCCAAUUAAAUAAGUAAAAUCAAUACCCUAAGUCAACAACUUAAUUAGAAAAAAAGGGAAACAAACAACUGCAAAAUCACCACUAACAACAACAGCAUUCUAAUUUCAAUAGGGAAAAAGAAAAUGAAACCAAAGCUGAAUCCUUGCAGUUCACCUGAAUGUUUCUUGUUUGCAAAGCUACGAAACGAUGGAAUUUGUGUGAUGGGAUUUCUUCUUUAUGUUUUUCCCUUCCAAUGCCGGAUUAGUUGGCAAAACCAAACCUGCAUUUAGUAGUUGUCACUAAGAAAUUAGUCAAACGAGCAGUAAAUAAAAUUGCAGAGAGAGAGAGAGAGAGACUGAUUGGCGCCGUCAAAUUGUUGUUGGAAAUGCAGGCUACAAUAGAGAUGGGGAUAGUGUGUGUGGAGCAUUCAUUAAAUUAGAAAACGAGAGAAAAUAAUCUAUUCAAGGAAAGUGUCAACCCACCAUUUUCAUUUAUUUUGCAGAAGAAAAAAAGAAAAAGGAAGCAUUUAUAUUUGAUGUUUGGCUUUAUUUUGGAAAAAGCAGUACCCUUAUCAGUUAUCAGCCGGGGUUUUAGUUGAUUGGUUGCCUUCUGAUUUUCUUUUCUUGACUAAUUCCCCAUUCACUAAGGCUUUAUCUACUUAAAUUAAUUUAAUUUUAUCAUCUAUAAUUUAUAAUAUAUUUUAAAAAAUUGAAAAAUCAAUUUCAUAGCGAUUUUAAAAUUAAAUACUCGUAAUUUUAUGAUUAAAAUAAAAAAUUAAAGAUUAUUUUUAUACUAUAUUUAUCCUUUUGUAUUCCUCUUUCCUAUGGUCAUAGAUUACACAACACAA
Molecule: long non-coding RNA, 3311 nt
Filed under: Salvia miltiorrhiza (redroot sage)
Lineage: Eukaryota; Viridiplantae; Streptophyta; Magnoliopsida; Lamiales; Lamiaceae
Description: long non-coding RNA (SMIL_LNC007152)
Source: RNAcentral